GUGUAUAGUUUUCUGAGUGCAAAAUGUCAAUAUAUAAAUAAGAAGAGGUUCAUGUUUGUGUGGAAUAUGGACAAGCAUCAGCUGAAGUUAUUUAGUGUGCUUACUAGAAAGCAAAGGACAGAACCAUGUACACCUAACUCCUCCCACCAGAAUAAAAGCCAUUACCAUGGCUUCCAUAUCAUGACUCCCACCAGAAUAAAAGCCAUUACCAUGGCUUCCAUAUCAUGA
RNAcentral lists this unclassified non-coding RNA (228 nucleotides) under Hevea brasiliensis (rubber tree). The record is from RNAcentral. Lineage: Eukaryota; Viridiplantae; Streptophyta; Magnoliopsida; Malpighiales; Euphorbiaceae.